Molecule: transfer RNA, 68 nt
Filed under: Rachycentron canadum (cobia)
Lineage: Eukaryota; Metazoa; Chordata; Actinopteri; Carangiformes; Rachycentridae
Description: tRNA-Phe
Rfam family: tRNA
About the family: Transfer RNA (tRNA) molecules are approximately 80 nucleotides in length. Their secondary structure includes four short double-helical elements and three loops (D, anti-codon, and T loops).
Source: RNAcentral
GCUGUCGUAGCUUAACUAAAGCAUAACACUGAAGAUGUUAAGAUGGACCCUGAAACGGCCCGAGAGCA